Non-coding RNA from Nothobranchius furzeri (turquoise killifish), 8058 nucleotides. The record is from RefSeq and is a predicted model, not a curated record. NCBI's taxonomy places the organism in Eukaryota, Metazoa, Chordata, Actinopteri, Cyprinodontiformes, Nothobranchiidae.
ACCGUUUGGGUGGUGACCUCAGUACCUGGUCUUAGCAACCUUCUACUCACCACAGAUGAAGCACGUGGUCUUCAGGAUCUCCUCCUUCUUUUGUUUCUCGCUCCUCAAGUCGGCGAACGUGUCAAUGAUGACGCCAAAGAUCAGGUUGAGAACGAUGAUGAUGACGAUGAAGUAGAAGAGCAGGUCGUAGACGACUCGAGCAGGAAACAGCGGCUCCUGCACGCAGGAGAGCACCUGGAAAAGAAACAGGGACCUCCAGCUGCUCCCGGGGAUCCAGGUACAAAGACAUCCAGGUAAAACCUCCUAAAACUUUUAACAUCCUCUUUCAUAAAUCAGCUCCAGGAGGAUUUAUCUACCAGAGAAGUUCCUGUAGAGCAGAUCCAGCAUGUUUUAGUGAUUUCUCUGAUGCAACACAGCUCUGCAGCAGCUCUGCAGAAGCCUUUUAGGCCUAGUCCACACGUAGCCGGGUUUUUUCAAAAACGAAUAUCCGCCCCUCCAGAAACUUGCAUCCACACCACCUCGUUUUAAAAAAAAAACUCUGUCCACACGUACCCGGAUAAAUACGUUGUUAAGGACAUGCCAGACCUGUAGGUGGCAGUACUUCCCCCGUUCUUAACCUCGUCCUUCGUCUGUGGUCUUCCGCAAGGAUCAGUAAUUCCUCUUGCAAAAACAAACAAGCAGAAAGCGCUUGGACGAUUGAUAAAGCGAGCGCAGCUCUGAGGGCAUCCAUGCUGUCGGCUAGUGUAAACACAGGUCGCACACGUGAUGUCAGCAUUUUUUUGUCAUGGAAAGUGACUUUACGGACCUUAAAACUCCGGUUUUGUCCGUCCACACGCAGACACCCAAAACGGAGAAAACGCAGAUCUUCACUUUGGCCGGAGUUUUUAAAAAGAUCCGUUUUCGUGUGAAAAAACUCCGUUUUCGUGUGGAUGACAGGCCAAAACGUAGAAAAAUAUCUACGUUUUGGCAGAUCCCCGGCUACGUGUGGACAGGGCCUUAAUCAGGUGUGUUGGAGCAGAGGUAAAACACAAGAGGUAGCCCCGCCCAUUCACGCUAACUCAGCCCAGCCCGCUGACCACCUGGUUUUGUUUUUUUCUUUAUAGCAAACUAACGUGACUCGUGUGAGUUACGGCUGCUGCUAGUUUACAAUCAUUAAUGCCAUCUUCUGUGUUCCAGUUAAGCAAGAUGAAUAUAAUUUGCCACACACCAAAACCCGCCGUUGCUUUAGGUUCAAAGCCUCCACUUCAUGAAUUUACCUGCAUUUAGCCGAUGGCGGGUGCUAAUUUUCACCCGAUCGGAACAUUCAUAGUGCUGAGUUCCGUGUAGAUGCCCUAAAUGACCUUCUGUUAGGAGGAGGUUUGUUCCUAAAACUCCAGUAAGCCUACUGGUCGGCUCCAAGUGGACCAGCAUGUUUCAAGAGGAGACUUUCAGAGGUUCAUACCAUCCUCCUCAGGCCGGUUGCCAACCUCCGCGGUGCAGCUGACUCCGUCUGAAGAACACGAGCUGAGGAAGUCCUGCGAGGCUUCACUCUGCCCAGGAGCUAAACACACAGCAGUCAGAACCGACCCUCUGGAGAACGGGUUCGUCGGAGCACAGGGCCAGAACUCACCUUCAGCAAUCUGAGACAGAUGAUCCACCUCCAUGAUGAAGUCCUCCUUCAGGAAGAGAAAGCCCACAAUGGAGAAGAGGUAGACGAGGAUGAGGGCGAGCAGUGCCGUCAGCAGGAUGGAACGCCCGUUGCGAGUGACGCUCUUUAUUACGUUGAACAGCGUCUCCUCUCGGUAAAUCAGGUCGAAGAGCUGCACGGAAAAACGUUAAAGGUUCUCUUCUCAACAGAAGCCAGAUCUUCAGGAGGACCCUCAGACUUACCAGGAUGCUGUAGAAGAGCUCAUGGACAAACAGGCCCAGGGUGGAGGUCAGGACGUAGGCCAGGUGGUACAGGAACUCCACAUCCAUCACCAUGGCCUUGUAGCCCAUAAUGAAGGUCCCGUUGUUCCCCACAAAGCUCACCACAAACACCACCUUGUUGAUCAGCUGGAGGCAGGAAGACAAUAGGUCAGGAAGACCAGAACCCAGAGUCCUGACCCAGGUCCAGUUUAGUGGAGGAGAAGGGUCCUGGACCGGAGCGACGGCGUUUCUUACGUUCAGCGACCCAAGCAGGAUGAGGGUGUUGCCGAUGCCCAGGUGGUAGAUGGACCUGAGGAUCAGAGCCAGGGUGAGCGGCUGCAGACCACGCUGAGAGAGCAGACCCAGAACCGAAAGUCCGGUCAGGAUCCAGAACAGCAUCAACAGCAUGGAGUCAUCGAUGGCUCCUGCAGAGGAAGAGACCGCGGACAGGAUGAGCUGCAGCUUCUGACAACACACCCAGAUCCGUCCAAGAGUCACAAGACAUCUGCAGCCACCGCCGUGGGCCGACGGUCUCGGCCCGGUUAGAUUCUGGGUUUGGGUCAAUCUGAUACAUAAAAUGUUUAACCUGGAUUAAACCCUUUGUAAGAUUUUUACAUUUCAGUCAAUGAAGAAUAAAAUCUUUUGUUUAGAGUCGAGUGUAUGUGGGGAAAGGGGGCGGGGCUAAAGUUCUGGCGUCUCAGUAGUACCUUGGCCCGAGUCGUAGGGGUAGAAGAAGGCGAUGAUGAGGUUGAUGAAGACAGCGAGGUUGAACGAGAUGGUCCCCCACAGACUCAUCCGUCUGGAGAACCAGUACAACACGGGCAUACCUGAAACCAGAACCGCAGGUCAAACCAGAACCACUCAGGAUGGACCAGAACUCGGUCUCGAUCGGUCCUCACUCCUCAGCUUCUUCUGCCACUCCAUCUCUCCGUGCAGGAAGGACGUCUGCUCAAAGAAGUGUGUGACCUUUGACCCCUGCUCGUCCUGCUCCGUGGUGUUGAACACUCUGGACUUUGACUCCUCCGUCAGAAACUCACAGAUGGGAUGGACGGGAAAGACGAUCUGCUCCAUGCUGCGGUCCUCCCGGACAAUCUGAACAGAGACCAGGAACCUUCAGAGGAACAGGAAGACACCUGACAGCAGGGCACAUGGCGGGGAAUCCGCGGGUCCGUAAGUCUUAAAUUAGCUUUUCCAAAUUUAAGACCUUAAAAAUGACAAAUAAUCCUUAAAUACAGUUUCCAAAGGUCUUAAAUUACCAAAGACCCAAUAAACAAGAUUGUCUUAUUUCUAUAAAAGUUUUGUGAAUUUCAAGUUAGUGUUCAGCUUUUUUUGUGUACGAUGCCCCACUAGCUGGUUAAGCUAGCCAUGGGGAAGUGCAGGUUUAAUGGUAACUAGAUGGCUAAUCCCGACGUGGUCAGCACCGGUUCCAGGCAAUAAUAGCUUAAAUUUGGUCAAAGUAGCCUUAAAAAAGAUCUAAAAGAGUCUUAAAUUUGGCUCUCUUAAACCUGCAGGUACCCUGCAUGAUGUCACGCCGCUCAGGUGACCACCCCUGUGCCAUGAUGGACGGUAGAAAGACUUGAUUACACACUGAAACUCCAAUGAAACGAGCCAGUCUGUAGCUUUGAGCCGUUUUCACUGUAAGAUGGUCGUUUGCUGCACUAACGGACGAGGAUGUAAACUCAACUCGUCGGUUUUAAGUAACAUUGAUGAGGCUGAGGACGGAGAUGAACCGCGGCUCUCUAAUUAUUUUGGGAUUUGCAGCGAACACGUUUUACCAGGUAAGACUAACGUUCAUACAUUUCACGAGGAAGACGAGGACUGGCGUGCGGUUUUACCAUGGAGGAUGCGCGGCACCAUCCACUGUGGUGAAAUACGAGCUAAUUAUUUACAAGAUUGUUCCAGUGUAGGAUUACGUCUGUUAAGUUUACGUUAUUUAUUUAGCAUGGUGAGCGUCGUCAAGAAAAACCUCGUCCUGGUGUGAGUAGGAGCUGACCUCUGACCCUGCCAGCGACAAAAACUGUUUUCAUCAGCUCCAAGUUAAAGCGAAACGCUGAUGACAUAAUGUUAUAAAUCCAGCGGGAAGAACGUAGCGUUCUAGCUAGCUCAGCUAAACUUUUGUUGACACCGCUCUCUAUGGCCCGUCCUAAGUGUGCUAAAUCUUCCCACAAGUGAACUGGGCUUGAACCAGUAGAGACCAGUUCAAGUGUCAUCAGUCCCACUUUUCUUCUCCGUUCGAUACUCUCAUAGCUCACUGUUGUCCCACUUAGACGAGCUACUUCUACUGAUAACUGGGCUUGAACUAGUUGAAGCCAUGCACACAAAACAACAACAACAAACAAUCUUAGACACUACGUUUUCCUGUUUUAGUACUCGUGUCACUCAUUGUUUACGUGCUUUUGCCAAACAACAUGGUGGACCUACGUGACGAGACCCAAUGACUGGAGUUAAAAACUCAGACACCCUAACGUUCUGCAGGAUGUUCUUCGUUCCAGCUCCACACAUCUGAUCAUUUCAAAAAGAUUGACCUUUUUCAGAACCACAGCAUGAAGCUGCGGUACCAGUACCUCUAUCUGAGAUGUUAGCUGGUCGUAGAACUCUAACGGGUCCUGUUCCACCACAUCAACAGGAGCCGAGGACUUCAACAUCUGAGACAGAGGGCGGUUGUUCAGGUUCAGCUGCAGAGACACAAACCGCAGCAGGACUUCAGUGUUGGACGACAAGAGCAGAACCAAAAGACACCGCCAGAACCAGAGGACAGACAGUUACCAUGGAGGAGAUGCCCUCCUCUCCCUCUGGACUCUUCUUUUGCGGCUUCAGGAGGUUCUGGAGAAACUUGUUGUGUCUCGCCAGCUAAAAAGAGAAAAACGUCAAACUUCUGAUCCAGUCACAGAUCAUCAGAACCAUCCAGCCAAUCAGGAGGCUGCGUUUGGUCACCUGCUGAGCUAGGAUGUAGAUGUUGUGUCCCACUUCCCGAGAAGACACCUCCACCUCCUCACACUCACAGUCCUGAAGGUAGGCCUUCUUUAUGACCUCCACCUGCACGCACGCACGCACGCACGCACGCACGCACGCACACACACACACACACACACACACACACACACACACACACACACACACACACACACACACACACACACACACACACACACACACACACACACACACACACACACACACACACACACACACACACACACACACACACAAAACCAACCAAUUUGGGUCAUAACAGCUGUUUCAUCUGCCCCGGUUUUGUGGUUCUGGUUCUGACCAGCUCUCGAGGCCGCAGGUUGAACAGGAUCCUCUCGGCGUUCUCGUUGUCAUGGCGACUCUCCAUCAGUGCCAGCAGUAGCUUGGAGGCGUUGUCCUGGCAACCAGGCCAGAAACAGGAAGUUACCAUCCAACAUGUAAUUUUACAAGACAGCAGCUGAUUGUUGGUCGCCGCCCCCUAAAGGCAGCUAGCGGGAACUACACUCUGAAGAAUCUUCUCAUCUAUAAGCAUCUGUAAUAAAGACUCAUCAUGUGACUUUUUAAUCAAAAAUAGUUUCAAUAAACAUUUUUAGACUGACACUAAACCAGUUCGGCUUCAAACUUUGUUUUUCAGUAACACACCUUCACUGGAGAUGAAAGAAAUCUAGUAUAUAGCGCCUCAAGAUGAAAAUCACGAGGCGCUUCACACAAAAAUAUGAUUAAAAUGGUGACAAAGGACAUGCAAACACCUGAACAGGUGCGUUUGAAGGAGACCACUGAGCCCACUGAUCUCAGGCUCAGGGGGAGAGAGGUCCCACAUGCAGGAUGCUGCUGAGUAAACUUCUGUCUGUAGCACGGAGAGUGAGGUGUGUGUGUGUGUGUGUGUGUGUGUGUGUGUGUGUGUGUGUGUGUUUCAGAGUCUCCAAAAGCAAAACUAGCCCGCCUUAGUUUACUUUUCUAUGGAGGACACCGCGGACUUUCCCACGUGCAUUAAACCCCGCCCACAAGCUCGGGAAAUUCCGCAUUCCUGAGAAGUCCCUGGAAUUUAUAUGUGACAACUACACCGCCCGUUUGAGACCGAACGCCGACCGUGCCGACGCCGAUGUGUAAGCGCCACAAGAGUCUCUGACUCUGGGAACCAGCUUGUCUGGGGCACAGAUGAGGAUCUCGGUCUGAUCUUCAUCCAGGUUUACUGGAGUCUAAGCAGGCGUGGAACAGCUGCAGCUUAGACAUCGGUUCUGGUUCCUGGGCAAUACCGGGUCAUCGUAAAGAACUCUACAUAACAGAAUCGAUGAUGACAAAAAUUCUGCUUCUAGAAACCAAACAUGAAGGAUCGUUACUGGUAGCACGAAUCAGCCAAGGACCGGCUCUAGCGGACGUUCCGAUCCAGAUUCGGCUCGCUGACGGUUGAGCCUUACAGGUGACCCGACUUACCUUCAGCUGUAAAACCAUCUCCAUUCGGUAUCGAGACAGAGGACUGAUGUCAUUCAGGAUCAGAGCGGUGAUGAUGUCGAUGCCGUUGGACUCGUGGGUCACGAUGCACGUCUGAAACAAUACACACAGUCCUCAGAGGUUCUGAUGUCAUGAGGUCCAAAACCAGGAGGAGUUACAAACAAGCCAAAAGCCCAAAGAAAGAGCCGAGUUCUCAGACAGAACCACUCUAGUGUGUUGGUGGACCUGGUUCUCCUGACACGGGCCCUGGCAGUACUCUGUGAGCGUCUCCAGGGUCUGGAUGAUCAGGUGGACGUUGGAUUCGUUGAUGUAGAGGCCCAGAAGGCCCAGUCCACCGGUGGUGCUGCCACACAUGAUGUCCAGGAACUGCAGAGUCUCACAAACCAGGUUAUAGUUGGUUUUGUUGUUCUGGACCCGCAGAAAGUUCUGAAAACAAAACAGAGCCGUUCUGUCAGGUCACAUCAGGCUGAAGUUCUCCUGAAGACCUCCAGGUGGCGCCAACUCGCACCAACUAACCUGCAGGUUCUGGUUGUGGUUCUCACACAGCAGCUGCAGGAACCUGAGGAUGGGUUUCAUGAUGGUGACGGCCGGUCCCAUCUCCAUCUCCGGCUGCUCUGGAGGAGGCUGAGCCGGUAGGGCGGAGGCGACGGACUGACCCUGCACCAGCAGAGGGUGACCUCCUGAACCAGGAAGAGCCAGCGCCGCAGAUCCUGCUUUACAAGUGGAACACGGCGAAAAAGGUUAAAUUCUCACAGCUUCCUGAAACAUCUAACGAGAAGCGUGUCUCACCGCUCUCCAGCUCCUUCUCGUUAGCCUUGUGCGUCAUCUCGCUGACGUUGACAGAAACUGUUGCUUUAAUGUCCAUCUGAGCUUCUUUCAUCCUGUCAUCAAGAACUUUGAAGAACUUCUCGGACUUGUUGUCGCCCAUCAUCAGUUUGUAGAAGGAGUUCUGCAGAAGGACAGGAAGUGGACUUCAACAGAUCAAUCAGUAGGUUCUGCUGUGGGCCCAGUAGAUCUUACUGGUUUUAUUAGCAGGUUCAGGUCUGGUUCCAGACACAAGACUAAAACCAGUUCAGCACCAGUCCCUAAACUUGGUCUUCUCUCAGGUGUUACCUGGAUCUCUGUGUUCCCUCCCUCCAGGAGACAGAUGGCCAGCUGGAUGCUCUCCUGGAAGAUCUUGUCGUUCUUGGUGCUCAUCACCAGAUCCGUGAACAGCUUUGUUCCUCCUUCUCGGUCCAAACGGCACUGAACAGCAGCCACCAUGGCCCAGUCUCGCUCCUGCUCACUACCUGACCCACAAACACAGGAUGAGAGGUCCCCUCAUCUCCAAGCAUCCACAGCUGUAGCAAAACCAUCGAGACCAUCUCUUCCUGUCUGCAGCAGAACCUGAUCAGGUUUACGAUUUGGUCUCUUAUCUCCAGCUUUCAUCUCUGCAAGCCCCAGUGGAACACCUGGAGAUGCUACAGAUCCACUCAUCGCACGUCAGGCCUUCAAACAAGCAAUUCUGUUGCACUUCCUCUUCCUGUGAUGUCACUUCCUGUCAGGAGCUUACUGUACAUCCAAACAUGACCCUCAUGGGCCUUUUGAUUCAUCUCCAAGGAUUUCUGCUGAGUCUAACCUGACGUACUUCUGGGGCUUUUAUUGUGAAGAAACAUCAUGAAGUAACGUACGUGUGUGUGUGUGUGUGUGUGUGUGUGUGUGUGUGUGUGUGUGUGUGUGUGUGUGUGUGUGUGUGUGUGUGUGUGU